Molecule: transfer RNA, 76 nt
Filed under: Vallitalea longa
Lineage: Bacteria; Bacillati; Bacillota; Clostridia; Lachnospirales; Vallitaleaceae
Also listed under: 1 other name
Description: tRNA-Arg
Rfam family: tRNA
About the family: Transfer RNA (tRNA) molecules are approximately 80 nucleotides in length. Their secondary structure includes four short double-helical elements and three loops (D, anti-codon, and T loops).
Source: RNAcentral
CGCACGUGUGGCUCAAUUGGAUAGAGCAUCCGGCUUCGGACCGGAGGGUUGUGGGUUCGAGUCCUACCACGUGCGU